This 352-nucleotide ribosomal RNA is filed under the name uncultured Thermus sp. RNAcentral's name for it is "bacterial SSU rRNA". It matches the Rfam family "Bacterial small subunit ribosomal RNA", at positions 1031 to 1382 of the family's 1533-position model. Lineage: Bacteria; Thermotogati; Deinococcota; Deinococci; Thermales; Thermaceae. The record is from RNAcentral.
GGCACAGGUGCUGCAUGGCCGUCGUCAGCUCGUGCCGUGAGGUGUUGGGUUAAGUCCCGCAACGAGCGCAACCCCCGCCGUUAGUUGCCAGCGGUUCGGCCGGGCACUCUAACGGGACUGCCCGCGAAAGCGGGAGGAAGGAGGGGACGACGUCUGGUCAGCAUGGCCCUUACGGCCUGGGCGACACACGUGCUACAAUGCCCACUACAAAGCGAGGCCACCCGGCAACGGGGAGCUAAUCGCAAAAAGGUGGGCCCAGUUCGGAUUGGGGUCUGCAACCCGACCCCAUGAAGCCGGAAUCGCUAGUAAUCGCGGAUCAGCCAUGCCGCGGUGAAUACGUUCCCGGGCCCUU